UAUGUAAAGAAACUAUUAUGGAUAAUUAGCUAUAUAUUAAAGAUAAUUAUAAAUCUAAAAUCUAAGAUAAAUUAAUUAAAUAAACGAAGUGAAUUGAAGUAUCUUAGUAACUUUAGGAAAAAAAAUCAAACGAGAUUUUAUUAAAAUAAUAUAUUAAUAAAAAAGCUUUUAAGUAAAACGAAUAUAAUUUGUUUGAAAAAAGGGGAACCUUCCUCUAAAGCUAAAUAUAAUAUAUAAGCGAUAGUGAAAAGUACCGUGAGGGAAAAUUUGAAUUAGUAGUUUUAUAAGCAGCUCAAAAAAAAGAGUGUACCUUUUGCAUAAUGGGUCAGCAAGUUAUGUUUAGAAGCGAGCAAUAAAAUUGCCCAGUUAAACCAAUUAUGAAAAAAUAAUAGAGUUUCUAAACAUAGACCCGAAGGCUAGUGAUCUUACCAUGGUCAGGGUACAAAAGGCCCGAACGAGUUAUCGUUGUAAAGAUAUUCGAUGAACUGUGGUAAGUUGGUGAAAGACAAAACUGACUAGUAUAGCUGGUUUUCCGCGAAACCUAUUUAAGUAGGUAAUUUAAUUAACAUCUUAGCAGGUACAGAACUGUGAUCUCGGACAAUGUAAUUUACUUUGUGUAUAUCGGGGGAUCAUAUAGAUUUUAUCGGAGAGUAUUUGCACUCGGAAUGGCAAAGAUGAAUAUUGAAUAAUCAGACAUAGUGCGAUAAGGUUGUAUGUCUAAAGGGAAACAGCCCAGAACAAGAGUUAUAAGGUUCCAAAAUUAUUGUUGAGUGAAAUUAAGGAUGUUUUUAUCAAAAACAAUCAGGAAAUAGGCUUAGAAGCUGCCAUUUUUUGAAGAUCUCGUAACAGAGCACUGAUUAAUUUUUAUUUAGUUAAUAAUACCGAAAAUAUAACGGAUCUAAACAAUAUACCGAAACCUUGUGCGUAUAAAUAUACGAGGUAGCGGAACAUUGGAUAUAUCUUAGAUUUUAUCUUUUUUAAGUUAAAAAAUAAUAGAUAAUCCAAGAGAGAAUGCUGACAUGAGUAACGAAAAAGGAAAUAAAUUCCUCGCCUUAAGCUUAUGGUAUUUUAUUUAAAUUUCGGUAUCUAAGUAUAGACCCUAAAGGGUCUAUUUGAUGAAAAAAAAUUUUUUAUUUGUAAACAAAACCUUUAUUUAGUGGUAAAGGUUCAGGAAAAUGUAACAAAACUACUAAAAAUUAAACCGUACCUAAAUACUAUCGCAAGUAAGCAAGUAGAAUAUACAAAGGCGUUUGAGUGAACAAUCAUUAAGGAACUCGGCAAAUUAACUACCGUAACUUCGGGAUAAGGAGAGCCAUUAUUACUUAUAUUAUGUAUUUAGUUAAUAAAAGGAAGCAUAAAUAGUGUUGUACGACUGUUUAAUUAAAACAAAGCACUCUGCAAAGAUAAAAAUCUAAGUAUUGAGUGUGAUGUCUGCCCGAUGUCGGCAGGGUAACAGAUUUUGCUUAAUAAUUUUUAUUAGGUUCUGAUGGAAACCCCGAUUAAUGGCGGCCUUAUCUAUAAGGGUCCUAAGGUAGCGGAAUACCUUGGCCGUUAAAUGCGGUCUUUGCAUGAAUGACAUAACGAUACAACAGCUGUCUCGAUGAUUGGCUCAGUGAAAUUGAAUUAGCAGUGCAGAUGCUGCUUACCUCUAGAUAGACAAGAAGACCCUUUGCAGCUUUACUGUUACCUAUUAUGAUAUAAUUUGAUAAUUUCCAGUGUAUAAGGUAAUAUUUUUGUAAUUGAAACACCUUUAUUUGUUCUAUUAUAUUCUUAAUGAUAGGAAGGCAGUUUAUGCGGGGCACAGAUCCCAUAAAAAGUACCUGGGUAUAUCCAAAGUUCAUAUUGUAUUUUUGUAAAUUAUAAUUUACAAAAAUUAACUUAUAUAUUUAUAAGUUGAUUAUUUAUUUUGUAAUUAAUUAUUAUUAAUUAUCCAGUUAUUGUUGGAUUAAGUUUUUAAAUUUAAAUUUUUAAGUAAGAUUUUAACUAUAUGGUAAAUAGAUGUAAAUAAAAUAUUAAUAUAAUUAUAUUAAUAUUUUAGUCAUAUUAAUAGAGAAAUUUUACUUAUUAAUAUGAUGUUUUUUUUUACUUUAAAAGUUUAAUGGCUAAAUCUUGCUUUACUGUUUGACAUACAAGUCUAUCAGUCGCGUAAGCGGGGCAUAUGAUCACAAGAUACAUAAAGGAAAGGUCUUGGAUUUAUGAAAAAGUUACGCUAGGGAUAACAGGCUAAUUUGCGCAAGAGAGUACAAAUUGAGUGCGCGGUUUGGCACCUCGAUGUCGGCUUAGCUCAUCCACAUGAAAGUAGAAAUCAUGAAGGGUUCGACUGUUCGUCGAUUAAAGAGCUACAUGAGCUGGGUUUAAUACGUCGUGAGACAGUAUGGUUUUUAUCUUCUAGAGGGAUACAGAGUAAAAGAUAAAUAGGCCCUUCGUACGAAAGGAGUUGGGUAUGUUGACCUAUGGUUUACCUGUUGUUUAGUAAUGUUAAUAACUAGUUUGCUAUCACUAAAGUAAUGAUUAUGUAUACUUUCUUUUAUUAAAGGAUUUAUAUAUGUUUAUUAAGCAUGGCAGGAAAGCUAAGUCAGUUAUAGAUAAGUGCUGAAAGCAUUUAAGCGCGAAGCUUAUUAUAUUAUACUCUUAUAUAAACGUAAUAAAAUAUUACGUUAUAGGCUUUAGUUGUAA
This 2676-nucleotide ribosomal RNA is filed under the name Arthroderma uncinatum. Its description in RNAcentral is "LSU rRNA". It matches the Rfam family "Bacterial large subunit ribosomal RNA". Lineage: Eukaryota; Fungi; Ascomycota; Eurotiomycetes; Onygenales; Arthrodermataceae. The record is from RNAcentral.